GAUGAAGAACGCAGCGAAAUGCGAUAAGUAAUGCGAAUUGCAGAAUUCAGUGAAUCAUCGAAUCUUUGAACGCACAUUGCGCCCGCCAGUAUUCUGGCGGGCAUGCCUGUUCGAGCGUCAUUACAACCCUCAGGCCCCCGGGCCUGGCGUUGGGGAUCGGCGGAGCCCCCCGUGGGCACACGCCGUCCCCCAAAUACAGUGGCGGUCCCGCCGCAGCUUCCAUCGCGUAGUAGCUAACACCUCGCGACUGGAGAGCGGCGCGGCCACGCCGUAAAACACCCAACUCUUCUGAAGUUGACCUCGAAUCAGGUAGGAAUACCCGCUGAACUUAAGCAUAUCAAUAAGCGGAGGA
This 352-nucleotide unclassified non-coding RNA is filed under the name soil metagenome. Its description in RNAcentral is "partial contains 5.8S ribosomal RNA, internal transcribed spacer 2, and large subunit ribosomal RNA". The stretch from base 1 to 120 matches the Rfam family "5.8S ribosomal RNA", at positions 35 to 154 of the family's 154-position model. The record is from RNAcentral.